This 858-nucleotide ribosomal RNA is filed under the name Salmonella enterica subsp. enterica. Its description in RNAcentral is "bacterial SSU rRNA". It matches the Rfam family "Bacterial small subunit ribosomal RNA", at positions 252 to 1102 of the family's 1533-position model. The record is from RNAcentral. Lineage: Bacteria; Pseudomonadati; Pseudomonadota; Gammaproteobacteria; Enterobacterales; Enterobacteriaceae.
GUGAGGUAACGGCUCACCAAGGCGACGAUCCCUAGCUGGUCUGAGAGGAUGACCAGCCACACUGGAACUGAGACACGGUCCAGACUCCUACGGGAGGCAGCAGUGGGGAAUAUUGCACAAUGGGCGCAAGCCUGAUGCAGCCAUGCCGCGUGUAUGAAGAAGGCCUUCGGGUUGUAAAGUACUUUCAGCGGGGAGGAAGGUGUUGCGGUUAAUAACCGCAGCAAUUGACGUUACCCGCAGAAGAAGCACCGGCUAACUCCGUGCCAGCAGCCGCGGUAAUACGGAGGGUGCAAGCGUUAAUCGGAAUUACUGGGCGUAAAGCGCACGCAGGCGGUCUGUCAAGUCGGAUGUGAAAUCCCCGGGCUCAACCUGGGAACUGCAUUCGAAACUGGCAGGCUUGAGUCUUGUAGAGGGGGGUAGAAUUCCAGGUGUAGCGGUGAAAUGCGUAGAGAUCUGGAGGAAUACCGGUGGCGAAGGCGGCCCCCUGGACAAAGACUGACGCUCAGGUGCGAAAGCGUGGGGAGCAAACAGGAUUAGAUACCCUGGUAGUCCACGCCGUAAACGAUGUCUACUUGGAGGUUGUGCCCUUGAGGCGUGGCUUCCGGAGCUAACGCGUUAAGUAGACCGCCUGGGGAGUACGGCCGCAAGGUUAAAACUCAAAUGAAUUGACGGGGGCCCGCACAAGCGGUGGAGCAUGUGGUUUAAUUCGAUGCAACGCGAAGAACCUUACCUGGUCUUGACAUCCACAGAACUUUCCAGAGAUGGAUUGGUGCCUUCGGGAACUGUGAGACAGGUGCUGCAUGGCUGUCGUCAGCUCGUGUUGUGAAAUGUUGGGUUAAGUCCCGCAACGAGCGCAAC